Molecule: transfer RNA, 83 nt
Filed under: Perca fluviatilis (European perch)
Lineage: Eukaryota; Metazoa; Chordata; Actinopteri; Perciformes; Percidae
Description: tRNA-Ser
Rfam family: tRNA
About the family: Transfer RNA (tRNA) molecules are approximately 80 nucleotides in length. Their secondary structure includes four short double-helical elements and three loops (D, anti-codon, and T loops).
Source: RNAcentral
GUUGUGCGUGGCCGAGCGGUUAAGGGCGAUGGACUAGAAAUCCAUUGGGGUCUCCCCGCGCGGGUUCAAAUCCUGCCGCAACG